GGGAGAACAACUCCAGAGCCUAGAUGAGAACCAAGGCUCUAUUUUGUAGACUGGUGGAAGAAGCAAUUGCAGACCCUAGACGAGGACCAAGGAUUGAUAGUAACAACACCACAAUAUUAGAACUCAAACACUAUUUUAAAAACACACCACAAGAGAGUAGGUUCACAAGAUAGAAUUAGAGCGUCAAGAGAAUAAAAGAAAAAAA
Molecule: long non-coding RNA, 205 nt
Filed under: Linum usitatissimum (flax)
Lineage: Eukaryota; Viridiplantae; Streptophyta; Magnoliopsida; Malpighiales; Linaceae
Description: long non-coding RNA (LUSI_LNC002697)
Source: RNAcentral